GGUGGCUUGGGAGAGCGGUUAUCCAGCGGACUGCAAAUCCGUUUACGCCGGUUCAAAUCCGGCAGCCACCUCCA
This 74-nucleotide transfer RNA is filed under the name Pseudobdellovibrionaceae bacterium. RNAcentral's name for it is "Bdellovibrionaceae bacterium tRNA-Cys". It matches the Rfam family "tRNA". Rfam says of the family: Transfer RNA (tRNA) molecules are approximately 80 nucleotides in length. Their secondary structure includes four short double-helical elements and three loops (D, anti-codon, and T loops). Further hydrogen bonds mediate the characteristic L-shaped molecular structure. tRNAs have two regions of fundamental functional importance: the anti-codon, which is responsible for specific mRNA codon recognition, and the 3' end, to which the tRNAs corresponding amino acid is attached (by aminoacyl-tRNA synthetases). tRNAs cope with the degeneracy of the genetic code in two manners: having more than one tRNA (with a specific anti-codon) for a particular amino acid; and 'wobble' base-pairing, i.e. permitting non-standard base-pairing at the 3rd anti-codon position. Lineage: Bacteria; Pseudomonadati; Bdellovibrionota; Bdellovibrionia; Bdellovibrionales; Pseudobdellovibrionaceae. RNAcentral also lists the same sequence under 1 other name. The record is from RNAcentral.